CCCUUAGACGUUCUGGGCCGCACGCGCGCUACACUGACCAGUGCAACAAGCAUCCGUCCUUGGCCGACAGGCCCGGGCAAUCUUUGAACGCUGGUCGUGAUGGGGAUAGACUUUUGCAAUUUUUGGUCUUCAACGAGGAAUUCCUAGUAAACGCAAGUCAUCAACUUGCAUUGAUUACGUCCCUGCCCUUUGUACACACCGCCCGUCGCACUUACCGAUUGAAUGGUCCGGUGAAGCCUCCGGAUUGGCGCGCACCUCGGUGCCGCCGAGAAGUUGGCUAAACCUUACCAUUUAGAGGAAGGUGAAGUCGUAACA
Molecule: ribosomal RNA, 315 nt
Filed under: uncultured eukaryote
Lineage: Eukaryota
Description: partial 18S ribosomal RNA
Rfam family: Eukaryotic small subunit ribosomal RNA
Source: RNAcentral